GAUGAACGCUGGCGGCGUGCCUAAUACAUGCAAGUCGAGCGAACAGACGAGGAGCUUGCUCCUCUGACGUUAGCGGCGGACGGGUGAGUAACACGUGGAUAACCUACCUAUAAGACUGGGAUAACUUCGGGAAACCGGAGCUAAUACCGGAUAAUAUAUUGAACCGCAUGGUUCAAUAGUGAAAGACGGUUUUGCUGUCACUUAUAGAUGGAUCCGCGCCGCAUUAGCUAGUUGGUAAGGUAACGGCUUACCAAGGCGACGAUGCGUAGCCGAACUGAGAGGGUGAUCGGCCACACUGGAACUGAGACACGGUCCAGACUCCUACGGGAGGCAGCAGUAGGGAAUCUUCCGCAAUGGGCGAAAGCCUGACGGAGCAACGCCGCGUGAGUGAUGAAGGUCUUCGGAUCGUAAAACUCUGUUAUUAGGGAAGAACAAAUGUGUAAGUAACUAUGCACGUCUUGACGGUACCUAAUCAGAAAGCCACGGCUAACUACGUG
RNAcentral lists this ribosomal RNA (497 nucleotides) under uncultured bacterium. RNAcentral's name for it is "partial 16S ribosomal RNA". It matches the Rfam family "Bacterial small subunit ribosomal RNA", at positions 28 to 507 of the family's 1533-position model. The record is from RNAcentral.